This is a transfer RNA of Babjeviella inositovora NRRL Y-12698, 73 nucleotides long. It matches the Rfam family "tRNA". From Rfam's summary of the family: Transfer RNA (tRNA) molecules are approximately 80 nucleotides in length. NCBI's taxonomy places the organism in Eukaryota, Fungi, Ascomycota, Pichiomycetes, Serinales. The record is from Rfam.
GGGAGUGUGGCGUAGUUGGUAGCGCGUCCGCUUUGCAUGCGGAAGGUCUCUGGUUCGAUCCCUGACUCUUCCA